GACUCCUGAGUGACCUGGAACUCAGCUCCCAGCCUAGAGAGUCACAUGUCUUUGUCCCUGCUUCCCAGUGUGCAGUCCUUGCUGGCCCUGAAGUGUGGCUAUGUGGAGAGAGCGCUCCCAGCAUUCCAUGCUCCAUUCCCUUCCUACCCCACUGCUCCUUCCUACUUUUCCAUUGCCUCAUGACUGUGAUUCUCACAUAGCAAACAGGAGAAUACUGAAGAAUGAAAAUGAAUCAAUGGAUAUGUUCUUAAGGACCUUAAGGAACAUUACUUAUUUUAACUCUGAUGAAACACAACAUGGUGAAUCAGUAUUCUCAUCCUUAUUACAGAUGAAAAGUUGAGUUACAAAGAAGUGCAAAGAAUCCUUUUAGGAUUAGUCAUGGAGAGGGAGAGCCUGAAUUUGAACUCAGAAGGUCUGGCUCCUAAAUUCACAAUUUAUUUAAUGUUUCAUUUGCUUGGGAAAGACAACUAAACACCAUAUUUAAUAAAAUGAUCAAGUCAAACUACAAAAAAUAUAUUUUUAAAAAAUGUUUUGUGACCUUGUUCUGAGGACUGAAUUGCAGGUUCUUGAUAGAGGGUCCUCUGAGCCUCAGUAUACGUGAGGUGCCUAUGAGGACCUGGGUCUGUUGUUAGAGAGGUACAGAGAGGCAGAACCAAGAACUGCUCUGCCUUCUAAUGGGUUUUUUCUGACUUUUCUCCUGUAGCUGAGCCCAAGUGACCGUGUACUCCACAAAGACCCAGCCCCUGAAGCACCACAGUCUCCUGGUCUGUUCUGGGCACAGUCUGGAUCUGCACAGAGCAAGAUGCUGAGUGGAGUUGGAGGUUUUGUACUGGGUCUGCUGUUUCUUGGGAUGGGGCUGUUUAUCUACUUCAGGAAGGAGAAAGGGCUCCUGAGCUAAACAGAUGGUCUCAGCACUGAAGGAAGUAGCUGAGUCCCUGCUUCUCCAUGACUUCUCCACAUCAUGACAGACUUCCUGGUUGGCUCUGGUUCUCUCGCACACACAGCCUCUCCUGGUGCCCAGGACCACACAGAAUGUCAUCGUUCAUGGCUUCCCCUGCCCUUGGGCCCCACCUGGAAGCCCAGGCACAGACUGUGGGGCCUUCCCUUCAUUCCCUCCUGGUCCCUUUCUGAUCAGCAUUUACCUGCUCAGGGCUUCUGCACUCACUCUGGACAGUGUUGCUUUAUUGUUUCUCAAAGGAAUGUGGAGUGAAAUAUCAUCUGCUUCCUACAAUUUUGAGGACAAAAAUACAGAAGAAAACAGGAGGAGGAUCUCAAAAUGCACUACUGGUUUUCACUGAUGCAUAAAAAGUGUGUGAGGAUAUGCAUAUGUGGAACAGGCUGCAUUAACCAUUUCACAAUGUCUAGAGGUUAAACCAUCAUAUUCUAUGAAAUAAUUGCAUGCAAUUUUCCCUUCUCAUUGAAAACACAUUUUAAAAUUAGAUUGGAAUUAGAUUGCCAAAAUAUGUAAAAUUGACGUAUAAUAAUUGAAACAAAUGAUCACAAUUAUAUGAUAGGAAACAAGCUUUAAAAACAAAUAAAUGCCUUUCUCCAAAUACUGUAUGAGUAUUCUUGAAAAUUAAUUUAUUGACAUCCAGAGAUAGACGUCAUUAUAUGUCAGUACAGAUUAGCUAUUCAGUACAGCACACUCAUUGAUUGAGAGUUCUGCUCUUCUGUUCCAUUGAAACAAAGAGUCAGUUUUGUAAUGCAAGACAAAUCAAAAUUUAAAUAAUUCAGAAUUUUGGUUAAGAAUAAGAAUCAUUUGAACACAGUUUUUUCGUUCUCCUCUGCAGUUCUCAUUUUUAAAUAAGUAGACUGUACAUUAUUAUGCUGCUUUUCAAUUAGCUCAUGAGUUCUUUGUACAAGCUGAUUUUCCUGUGUGACUUUCAUGGGCUGAUAUUGAGGUCCAUUCUGGUACAAUGUGGGUUGCAACUUCAUUGUGACUUUUUUUCCCAAGAAGAAGAAAUGGUUUAUGGCAUGUUACAUACUAACUCUUUUGUGAAACUAUAAGGUAGAAUUUAAAACAUAUGACCAAAAUUUCAAUCAAGAUGCUUUAUACUUCACAUAGCUGGAAAUCCAAUCCAAAGUCCUAUUUUUCCUUGAUUUUCCUAGGGCAGGGAGAAGUUAGAUGCAAGUGUGUGUCUCUAGUGCUGCUCACUUCAGCAGGCAGGUGGCUCCUGCAAUGAUCCCCCAGUUUCAUCCCUCUUCCCUUGUCAUUCACAGACUGUCCUCAGUCCUGAGACGGCAAAACAAACAACCAUGACACAUUUAGGUUUUCAUAUUCAGAGCGUAAAUGGCUAGGACGUUGAAAGUCUUUUCUCUUGGGUGCUUCUGUAAGUAGCAUCUGCACUUUUCCCUGAGUUCCCAGUCAAGUCACUUCAUUCCUAGCAAGGGGCAGAGGAUUUUGGUGACAGCUCUGACAAACCUUCCUUCAGCCUGGGACCUGGCCCUGAUGCCGUGGGAACCACAGCAGCAAUAUGGCAUCUAUUUUGAAAGAAAAAAAAAUGGUAUGAAUGAUUCAGGGAUAAAAAAAAAUUGAUAGCAUUUUUAAUUAAUUUCUUGAUAAGAAUCCUGAAUGGUUUUGUGUCUAUUUAAAAAUAUGUAUUGAGUAUUAAAUGCAAGUUCUUAACUAUAGUGAACAAAAUGCCAAAAUAUUGCUUGUUUUUGGAAGUAUCGUAGUAUGUAAUUUUACAACACAAUUAUAUUUUCCAAAUAGUGUUUUAAAGCAAGUAUGAGAAUGAAAAUGUAGGGGCCAGAAUUUAGCUCAGUGGCAUGAGCGCCUGCCUGGCACGACCAUAGAGCACAUCUAUUUUAAUAAAUAUGUUUUUUUAAUUCUCUGGCUGUUAAUUAAAUACAUACAUAUAACUCUGGGAAGAAUUAAAAUUGAAACUCUUUAGAAAUACUUUAUGAUACAUGGAGAGUUUCAAAUAGUUUUAGAAUGUAUUAAAAAAAAAGGGUAUUUUUUACUGAGGGUAUGGGAAGACUGCUCAGAAGACUCCUGAGGUGACACUGCCAUCCUUCAGAAGCUUCAGGAACAAUCAUGACUUUUUUAUUUGGGAUCUAACAGGAGCCGAGCUAAAGGGGUUGGCUAAAAGACAUGCUGAGAACCGAUAGGAGGACCCUUUGCACAUGCUCAGAAACGCAACAGAGGCGGAACUAAAGGCCCGGGCACAAUAACAUUACUGACAGCUGAUAGCUGGGUCUUCCACACAUGCCCAAAGGGCUGGAGGUUUGACUUGGGGGUUUGCCAUUUAACACAAAAGGGCACUGUCCAGCAACAGAGGCAGUUCCUACUUGAGGGAAAACCUAUCAUUACGUGCCACCCAGGAAUUCCAUACCCUGGAAUCAUCCACGAAAAAUGAAAAACAAACAAAACCAAGACAAGGAUCCAUGUCACUGUAAAGAUGGGGAUACAAUUCACAAGAGUCAAGUUAUAGAGUCACCCAAGUUGCCCAUCAGUGGGUAAAUGGGUGAAUAAAAUGUGCAACUUAGACACAGUGGAGAUUUAUCCAGUGAGAAAGAAACACAAAAUCACAGUAGCAGGCAAAUAUGUGUAACUAAUCACGUUAAGAACCACGUUAAGAAAAAUAAACCAGACUCACAAUGACAAAUAUUUCAUGUUUUCCUCAAAGUGUGGAAUCUCAGAAAUAUCGUAGAGAUAACAGAAAGUAGAAAGAGACUAUGAAACCAUGGAAGGGGAUCAGAAGGUGGGAGAACAAGGGUAUGAGAGAUGAAUGUAGAUAGGUAGGAUCAAAAGUAUUUUAUAUGCAUGUAUGUAAAUGCCACAUCGAAACUCCAUGUUCUGAAUGAUAAAUACGCUCCAAAUACACACACACACACACACACACACACACACACACACACACGGUAUGCUAAAUUUCAGAGCAGAAAUGGGCAUAAUAGCCAAAAAACUUGAAGCAUUCAAAAUAUCCACCGGCUGGUAAACAUUAUGUACUAAACUCAUACAAUUCCAUUCCACAAUAUUUUAAUUGAAUUCAAUAAUAAGAAAUAAAAUGAGCAAAAUAUCGUGUGC
Molecule: RNA transcript, 4030 nt
Organism: Cavia porcellus (domestic guinea pig)
Lineage: Eukaryota; Metazoa; Chordata; Mammalia; Rodentia; Caviidae
Gene name: HLA class II histocompatibility antigen, DR beta 3 chain-like
Exons: 3
Source: RefSeq, a predicted model, not a curated record